RNAcentral lists this ribosomal RNA (519 nucleotides) under uncultured bacterium. Its description in RNAcentral is "partial 16S ribosomal RNA". It matches the Rfam family "Bacterial small subunit ribosomal RNA", at positions 29 to 507 of the family's 1533-position model. The record is from RNAcentral.
ACGAACGCUGGCGGCGUGCCUAAUACAUGCAAGUCGAACGCACUCUCGUUUAGAUUGAAGGAGUUUGCUCCUGAUUGAUAAACAUUUGAGUGAGUGGCGGACGGGUGAGUAACACGUGGGUAACCUGCCCUAAAGUGGGGGAUAACAUUUGGAAACAGAUGCUACUACCGCAUAAAACCUAACACCGCAUGGUGUAGGGUUGAAAGAUGGUUUCGGCUAUCACUUUAGGAUGGACCCGCGGUGCAUUAGUUAGUUGGUGAGGUAAAGGCUCACCAAGACCGUGAUGCAUAGCCGACCUGAGAGGGUAAUCGGCCACACUGGGACUGAGACACGGCCCAGACUCCUACGGGAGGCAGCAGUAGGGAAUCUUCCACAAUGGACGAAAGUCUGAUGGAGCAACGCCGCGUGAGUGAAGAAGGUGUUCGGAUCGUAAAACUCUGUUGUUGGAGAAGAAUGUAUCUGAUAGUAACUGAUCAGGUAGUGACGGUAUCCAACCAGAAAGCCACGGCUAACUACGUG